Molecule: long non-coding RNA, 432 nt
Organism: Amborella trichopoda
Lineage: Eukaryota; Viridiplantae; Streptophyta; Magnoliopsida; Amborellales; Amborellaceae
Source: RefSeq, a predicted model, not a curated record
CCCUCAAUCUCUUUGAAACUCGACCUUCUCUCUCAAUCUCUCUCGAGCCUACCCCUCUCUGCUGUACACCCCGUCUUUGAGGUUGAUUUCUACUUUGAGGCCAUUUCUGUGUUUGUUUACAGAAAGUUGGAGGAAAUUCUGUGAAAGCCCUAUCUUUUAAAGUCCGAGCAUGGAGAGUAUGAUUGAUUUUCUUUGUGUUAUUGCAGAGGUUUUCCUUUUUAUUGUUUUGUCUAUGGUGUUGUUGGUUUUUUAUAGCUAUAUGUAUUCGAAAGGGUACUGUAGAACCAUAUUUAUUUUCAUGAGUAUGUGUUGGUUGAAAAAAUCUGUGUAAUUUAGUUUUCCUGCAGUUCAUCCUCUUUUCCCUUUUUGUAUAUUAAGGUAAUGGGUAUUGUUGCUUCCAAAUAAAUUAGAAUGGGAACGUCUCUUUCUCUA